UUAGAGUUUGUUCCUGGCUCAGGAUGAACGCUAGCGGCAGGCUUAACACAUGCAAGUCGAGGGGCAUCGCGCGGGUAGCAAUACCUGUGGCGGCGACCGGCGCAAGGGUGCGUAACGCGUGAGCAACAUGCCCGUGUCAGGGGGGAUAAGCGAUGGAAACGUCGUCUAAUACCGCAUAACACCGGAGGGGGCAUCCCAUCUGGUUGAAAUAUUCAUAGGACACGGAUUGGCUCGCGAGACAUUAGCUAGUUGGCGGGGUAACGGCCCACCAAGGCGACGAUGUCUAGGGGUUCUGAGAGGAAGGUCCCCCACACUGGAACUGAGACACGGUCCAGACUCCUACGGGAGGCAGCAGUGAGGAAUAUUGGACAAUGGUCGGAAGACUGAUCCAGCCAUGCCGCGUGAAGGCAGACGGUCCUAUGGAUUGUAAACUUCUUUUGUACGGGAACAAUAAGGUCCACGAGUGGUCCGAUGAGAGUACCGUACGAAUAAGCAUCGGCUAACUCCGUGCCAGCAGCCGCGGUAAUACGGAGGAUGCGAGCGUUAUCCGGAUUUAUUGGGUUUAAAGGGUGCGUAGGCGGAGAUGUAAGUCAGCGGUGAAACGCAGGUGCUCAACACCUGACCUGCCGUUGAUACUGCGUUUCUUGAAUUCGGAUGCUGUGGGAGGAAUGUGUGGUGUAGCGGUGAAAUGCAUAGAUAUCACACAGAACACCGAUUGCGAAGGCAUCUCACAAAUCCGAGAUUGACGCUGAGGCACGAAAGUGCGGGGAUCGAACAGGAUUAGAUACCCUGGUAGUCCGCACAGUAAACGAUGAUAACUCGCCUGUCGGCGAAACAAUGUCGGGGGCCCAAGCCAAAGCGAU
This 863-nucleotide ribosomal RNA is filed under the name uncultured bacterium. RNAcentral describes it as "bacterial SSU rRNA". It matches the Rfam family "Bacterial small subunit ribosomal RNA", at positions 1 to 861 of the family's 1533-position model. The record is from RNAcentral.